AGGAAAGUCCAGCUUUAAAGCAUCGAGCUGAAAUCUCAAACUGCUUUGUAGAUGAAUACGUACACGAAAUAUUACAGCUACUGUUCUUCUGGAAUGUAAAAUAACAAGAUUAUAAAGAAGGCAGUAUUGUUACUGGCCGGAAAAUUUUUGAGAGACAAGGAGGAAGAAGAAGAUGUUUGGCAACUUUAUGAUGCUGGAAGCAAAAUAAAGUGAGGAAAAAAUAUACCUGGAGCUGUGUACCAGUGGCAAGCACCUGAAGCUUCUAGCCGUGAUGCAAAGCCACACAAUUUCCUGUGCUGCUGAUACAUUCUUUUUCUUGAUCAGUGUCGGUCACAACCUCUGGCAGCUCCCUCAGUUAAACUCAGCUCAAGGAACAGCAACAGGUUCAUUCAGCGGACACGGCUGUUUUGCAGGAGUGCAGAGCAGCACAAGUUGGCGGAACAACCGGCUCGGUGCGUGGGGACGGUCCGGCUCCCACUCGCGAUCCUGCCAUUCCUGCCAUUCCUCGGUCAUCCUUGUGGCCACGGCGCCACUGCCACAAACACGCGGGAGGGGGGGCUGCUGCCGAUGCCAACACCAGAAAAUCUCGGCUGUUUAUGCUGAUGUGCCUCGUCUUGCUCAUGUGGAAACCCUGGGCCACAAACAGAUUUAAGGAGAUGGGAAAGUAGAAUGCCCUCCAGCUGGAAUUUUCCAGAAGCCAAUGGAAGAGAAGACAAAUCAGUAACCCUGGGAAGACAGAACCCUGCAACAACAUGACAUGUUUUGGCAUUCCCUUGUUUUCUUUUAUUUGGGUGCAGUUGUUACUACUCGCUGGAACAUGAAAUGCUUUGUCAGCUCCUUAGUUUGUUUUGGGUUUUUUUUUUUUUUGUUUGCUUUUUUAACCUUUAUGUGUUAUUAUAAUGGAACCAUAAGGUGAAGCUGUGUGAGAAGAGGACAUAAAAAGCCAUUUCUGUUGCCUUAUUUUUUAUUUGGGUAGGAAUUAGCAGGUUUAGUAGGUCCACAAGGCAGUUACAUAAUAGCCUAUAAGUAUUUAAUUAAAAAAAAGAGGCAGAACUGGCAGGCAUUUCACAUGCAGUCCUGCAUGUGCUCUGGCACAUCACACAAUUAUGCAGGAGGCAUGUGAAUGGGGGGCAGUGCCAGAGGGAAAGUCAUGUCCCACGGCUGCAGGAGGAUGGGAAGGCUGUAGGGUAUUGGUUACCUGAGGUUUGGCCCUGAAGCACCUAAAGGGAGCACAGAAGUGAAAAAUAACAUGGAAGCUAUCAAAGCACGGAAUGGGAAACCCACGGGUGUUGGCUCUGGCAGCAGCUCAGAACACACGUUUGUGCUUUGGCAGGACAUCUAGAGCUGCAUUUCUCUAUGGAAGCAGAAGAAAAACAAAAGCAAGAGAAGGGCAGGAGUGGCCCAGCUGAAGCAAGGACAUCACCUGGGCCAGGCUGCCCAGCUGGGGUGGCAGCGGCACUUGGAGCCCUCGGGGCCACGCGCUCAGCCUGGCAGGGCACAGCACGUUGAGCUGAAGCACCCGCCCGGGAAAGGGAGCGAAGAUAUUUUUAGUCCUUCCAAGAGUCUACAACAGAGCUAGCCAGGAUUAAUGGACAUUUAUGGGGGUUAGCAAGAGUUAAUAGGAGAGGCCAAACCUCUCCACCUACAAUUCCCUCCAUCUGUACUUACUGCAUCUUUGAGGUGAUGGAAGGGGAAACAAUAUGGAGUGUUCUGUUUGAAAUAUUUUGGGAUUUAGAAAAUCCAAACAUUUAAAUAAUGUGUUCAAGAAAUUA
Zonotrichia albicollis (white-throated sparrow) is the source of this 1772-nucleotide non-coding RNA. Lineage: Eukaryota; Metazoa; Chordata; Aves; Passeriformes; Passerellidae. The record is from RefSeq and is a predicted model, not a curated record.